Long non-coding RNA from Paramisgurnus dabryanus, 404 nucleotides. RefSeq lists it as uncharacterized. The record is from RefSeq and is a predicted model, not a curated record. Lineage: Eukaryota; Metazoa; Chordata; Actinopteri; Cypriniformes; Cobitidae.
AGACAAUGUAAGUGAAGCAGCUGAACACAUCUAUGCUAAUAUUGAACUGAAACCUAAGAAAGAAAUGAAGAAAAAGAAGAAAGACAAGAAAGGGAAUUCCAGUGUAGGAGGGAAAACUGUGUACUCUAAACUGAAGAAAGGAGGAGGUCAAGGUGUUGCUUUUGGAUCUGUUGAUGUGGCCUACUCUUAGAUAAAAAAAAAAGAAAAGACGGCAAUACAGUAGCUAAAGCUUCAUGUGCAUCAGAGUAAAUGCUUCCUAAACUUUGAUUUUCUAAUAGCAUAAAAGAGUUUACUUAUCAGGAUAUGAGAAGCUCAGAUGCUCCCUCAAAAAUGAGACAAUGAUAUUAACCGAAUGCUCUCGGGACGUAUACAUUCAUCAAUACUUACGUUCCACUUAAUCCCAG